GAUGAACGCUAGCGGCAGGCUUAACACAUGCAAGUCGAGGGGCAGCACGGGUAGCAAUACCUGGUGGCGACCGGCGCAAGGGUGCGUAACGCGUGAGCAACAUGCCCUAUACAGGGGGAUAAUCCAGGGAAACUUGGUCUAAUAUCCCAUAGUAUUUAGAGGAGGCAUCUUCUAUAAAUUAAAGCUUCGGUGGUAUAGGAUUGGCUCGCGUGACAUUAGCUAGAUGGUGAGGUAACGGCUCACCAUGGCAAUGAUGUCUAGGGGUUCUGAGAGGAAGGCCCCCCAACUGGGACUGAGACACGGCCCAGACUCCUACGGGAGGCAGCAGUGAGGAAUAUUGGUCAAUGGACGCAAGUCUGAACCAGCCAUGCCGCGUGCAGGAUGACGGCCCUAUGGGUUGUAAACUGCUUUUCCACGGGAAGAACCCUCCGACGUGUCGGAGACUGACGGUACCGUGGGAAUAAGCAUCGGCUAACUCCGUGCC
Molecule: ribosomal RNA, 484 nt
Filed under: uncultured bacterium
Lineage: Bacteria
Description: bacterial SSU rRNA
Rfam family: Bacterial small subunit ribosomal RNA
Source: RNAcentral